Long non-coding RNA from Maniola jurtina (meadow brown), 150 nucleotides. RefSeq lists it as uncharacterized. Lineage: Eukaryota; Metazoa; Arthropoda; Insecta; Lepidoptera; Nymphalidae. The record is from RefSeq and is a predicted model, not a curated record. The transcript is spliced from 3 exons.
AAAAAAAAAAUUGUGAUUCCCGAAUGGGACAAAGGGGAUUAGGUUAGUUAGGCUGCCUGGCACUAAUCAUUACUAGUACUAAUGUUUAAAAAAAAAAAUGAAUAUUUUAUUGGUCUAGUAAUGUUAGACGACUUGUUCGGACGGUGCUAG